Molecule: transfer RNA, 60 nt
Filed under: Caudoviricetes sp.
Lineage: Duplodnaviria; Heunggongvirae; Uroviricota; Caudoviricetes
Description: tRNA-Ser
Source: RNAcentral
GGCUGGCGAGGCGGUCUCCAAAACCGCUUGGGUGGGUUCGAUUCCCAACCGUCCCUGCCA